RNAcentral lists this RNase P RNA (355 nucleotides) under marine eukaryotic metagenome. RNAcentral describes it as "Bacterial RNase P class A". It matches the Rfam family "Bacterial RNase P class A". Rfam says of the family: Ribonuclease P (RNase P) is a ubiquitous endoribonuclease, found in archaea, bacteria and eukarya as well as chloroplasts and mitochondria. Its best characterised activity is the generation of mature 5'-ends of tRNAs by cleaving the 5'-leader elements of precursor-tRNAs. Cellular RNase Ps are ribonucleoproteins. The record is from RNAcentral.
GAGUUGGCCGAGCAGUCGCUGUUUUAUUGCAAAAUAAAGCGGAGGAAAGUCCGGGCUCCAAUGGGCAAGGUGCCAGGUAACGCCUGGAAGGCGUAAGCCUAUGGAAAGUGCCGCAGAAAAUAAACCGCCUGAUAUUCUGCAAAGAAUAUUCGGUAAGGGUGAAAUGGUGCGGUAAGAGCGCACCGCGCUUGCUGGUAACAGCAGUGGCAGGGUAAACCCCACCUGGAGCAAGAUCAAAUAGAGAAGCAGACGCGUGGCCCGCGCGGCUUCUGGGUAGAUUGCUUGAGCCGUUAGGCGACUAACGGCCUAGAUGAAUGGCUGUUCUCGACAGAACCCGGCUUAUAGGCCAACUCUU